CAGCCGCCGCGGGAAUACGUAGGGUGCAAGCGUUAAUCGGAAUUACUGGGCGUAAAGCGUGCGCAGGCGGUUAUAUAAGACAGAUGUGAAAUCCCCGGGCUUAACCUGGGAACUGCAUUUGAAACUGUCAGGCUGGAGUCUUGUAGAGGGGGGUAGAAUUCCAGGUGUAGCGGUGAAAUGCGUAGAGAUCUGGAGGAAUACCGGUGGCGAAGGCGGCCCCCUGGACAAAGACUGACGCUCAGGUGCGAAAGCGUGGGGAGCAAACAGGAUUAGAUACCCCAGUAGUCCCUGUCUCUUAUAC
This 301-nucleotide ribosomal RNA is filed under the name uncultured bacterium. Its description in RNAcentral is "partial 16S ribosomal RNA". It matches the Rfam family "Bacterial small subunit ribosomal RNA", at positions 509 to 807 of the family's 1533-position model. The record is from RNAcentral.